UACGUAGGGUGCAAGCGUUGUCCGGAAUUAUUGGGCGUAAAGGGCUCGUAGGCGGUUUGUCGCGUCGGGGAGAUGAAACAUCGGGCUUAACUCGAUGCUUGCUUUCGAUACGGGCAGACUUGAGGUAUGCAGGGGAGAAUGGAAUUCCUGGUGUAGCGGUGAAAUGCGCAGAUAUCAGGAAGAACACCCGUGGCUAAGGCGGCUCUCUAGUACGGUACUGACGCUGAGACGCGAAAGCGUGGGGAGCGAACAGG
This 254-nucleotide ribosomal RNA is filed under the name uncultured bacterium. RNAcentral's name for it is "partial 16S ribosomal RNA". It matches the Rfam family "Bacterial small subunit ribosomal RNA", at positions 524 to 776 of the family's 1533-position model. The record is from RNAcentral.